CACUCCUACGGGAGGCAGCAGUGGGGAAUAUUGCACAAUGGGCGCAAGCCUGAUGCAGCCAUGCCGCGUGUAUGAAGAAGGCCUUCGGGUUGUAAAGUACUUUCAGCGGGGAGGAAGGCGAUAAGGUUAAUAACCUUGUUGAUUGACGUUACCCGCAGAAGAAGCACCGGCUAACUCCGUGCCAGCAGCCGCGGUAAUACGGAGGGUGCAAGCGUUAAUCGGAAUUACUGGGCGUAAAGCGCACGCAGGCGGUCUGUCAAGUCGGAUGUGAAAUCCCCGGGCUCAACCUGGGAACUGCAUUCGAAACUGGCAGGCUAGAGUCUUGUAGAGGGGGGUAGAAUUCCAGGUGUAGCGGUGAAAUGCGUAGAGAUCUGGAGGAAUACCGGUGGCGAAGGCGGCCCCCUGGACAAAGACUGACGCUCAGGUGCGAAAGCGUGGGGAGCAAACAGGAUUAGAUACCCGUGUAGUCCCAUG
This 474-nucleotide ribosomal RNA is filed under the name uncultured organism. RNAcentral's name for it is "partial 16S ribosomal RNA". It matches the Rfam family "Bacterial small subunit ribosomal RNA", at positions 334 to 799 of the family's 1533-position model. The record is from RNAcentral.